This 57-nucleotide transfer RNA is filed under the name Gordionus wolterstorffii. RNAcentral's name for it is "tRNA-Ser". The record is from RNAcentral. Lineage: Eukaryota; Metazoa; Nematomorpha; Gordioida; Chordodea; Parachordodidae.
GAGGAAACUAUUUUAAACUGCUAAUUUAAACUGUUAACGCCUAUGUUAUUUCCCUCU